Molecule: transfer RNA, 86 nt
Filed under: Deltaproteobacteria bacterium
Lineage: Bacteria; Pseudomonadati; Myxococcota; Myxococcia
Description: tRNA-Tyr
Rfam family: tRNA
About the family: Transfer RNA (tRNA) molecules are approximately 80 nucleotides in length. Their secondary structure includes four short double-helical elements and three loops (D, anti-codon, and T loops).
Source: RNAcentral
GGAGGGGUACCCAAGUGGCCAACGGGAGCAGACUGUAAAUCUGCCGCAUUUAUGCUUCGAAGGUUCGAAUCCUUCCCCCUCCACCA